Molecule: long non-coding RNA, 202 nt
Filed under: Sorghum bicolor (sorghum)
Lineage: Eukaryota; Viridiplantae; Streptophyta; Magnoliopsida; Poales; Poaceae
Description: long non-coding RNA (SBIC_LNC000980)
Source: RNAcentral
ACACCUAACAAUUAAAUCAAAUUGAAAAAGAAAACAUGGAAAUGGUGAGAGGACAGGCAACAUAUUAAGCAACCUCAUACAUGAAAAAUGCUUAUCGCGUAAUUAAAUCAAAUUUACAUAAAAAAUAACAUCCUAAAGAAUAUAAUUUAAAAAACUAAAAAGAAAACUUAUCUUUCUCUCUCUUCCCAAGCAUGAAAACACC